ACCGAUUAUUUGGUCUUUAACCACCAAACCUCCAACCUUCACUGAUUAAAGCUCUGAACUUAGGGUUCAUAGUACGUUCUCCUCCUUCGAGCUCUCACACUAAGGGUUAUUUUCGUUGCAUCAUCAGUUUGUUACCAUGUUUUGCUCCAUAUUCCAUGGAUUCUCAUCAAUCCGCCAUGACCAGGCGUCGUCAUCUCCCUUACAAGGCAAC
Molecule: long non-coding RNA, 211 nt
Filed under: Vigna radiata
Lineage: Eukaryota; Viridiplantae; Streptophyta; Magnoliopsida; Fabales; Fabaceae
Description: long non-coding RNA (VRAD_LNC004282)
Source: RNAcentral